This 824-nucleotide ribosomal RNA is filed under the name uncultured bacterium. RNAcentral's name for it is "bacterial SSU rRNA". It matches the Rfam family "Bacterial small subunit ribosomal RNA", at positions 547 to 1368 of the family's 1533-position model. The record is from RNAcentral.
GGAAUUAUUGGGCGUAAAGAGCUUGUAGGCGGUUUGCCGCGUCUGCUGUGAAAGCCCGGGGCUUAACUCCGGGUGUGCAGUGGGUACGGGCAGGCUAGAGUGCAGUAGGGGAGACUGGAAUUCCUGGUGUAGCGGUGAAAUGCGCAGAUAUCAGGAGGAACACCGAUGGCGAAGGCAGGUCUCUGGGCUGUUACUGACGCUGAGAAGCGAAAGCAUGGGUAGCGAACAGGAUUAGAUACCCUGGUAGUCCAUGCCGUAAACGUUGGGCACUAGGUGUGGGGGACAUUCCACGUUUUCCGCGCCGUAGCUAACGCAUUAAGUGCCCCGCCUGGGGAGUACGGCCGCAAGGCUAAAACUCAAAGGAAUUGACGGGGGCCCGCACAAGCGGCGGAGCAUGCGGAUUAAUUCGAUGCAACGCGAAGAACCUUACCAAGGCUUGACAUACACCGGACCGCGCUGGAGACAGCGUUUCCCUUCGGGGCUGGUGUACAGGUGGUGCAUGGUUGUCGUCAGCUCGUGUCGUGAGAUGUUGGGUUAAGUCCCGCAACGAGCGCAACCCUUAUCCUAUGUUGCCAGCACGUGAUGGUGGGGACUCAUGGGAGACUGCCGGGGUCAACUCGGAGGAAGGUGGGGAUGACGUCAAAUCAUCAUGCCCCUUAUGUCUUGGGCUUCACGCAUGCUACAAUGGCCGGUACAGUGGGUUGCGAUGCCGUGAGGUGGAGCUAAUCCCUAAAAGCCGGUCUCAGUUCGGAUCGAAGUCUGCAACUCGACUUCGUGAAGUUGGAGUCGCUAGUAAUCGCAGAUCAGCAAUGCUGCGGUGAAUA